Molecule: ribosomal RNA, 497 nt
Filed under: uncultured bacterium
Lineage: Bacteria
Description: partial 16S ribosomal RNA
Rfam family: Bacterial small subunit ribosomal RNA
Source: RNAcentral
GAUGAACGCUGGCGGCGUGCCUAAUACAUGCAAGUCGAGCGAACAGACGAGGAGCUUGCUCCUCUGACGUUAGCGGCGGACGGGUGAGUAACACGUGGAUAACCUACCUAUAAGACUGGGAUAACUUCGGGAAACCGGAGCUAAUACCGGAUAAUAUAUUGAACCGCAUGGUUCAAUAGUUAAAGACGGUUUUGCUGUCACUUAUAGAUGGAUCCGCGCCGCAUUAGCUAGUUGGUAAGGUAACGGCUUACCAAGGCAACGAUGCGUAGCCGACCUGAGAGGGUGAUCGGCCACACUGGAACUGAGACACGGUACAGACUCCUACGGGAGGCAGCAGUAGGGAAUCUUCCGCAAUGGGCGAAAGCUUGACGGAGCAACGCCGCGUGAGUGAUGAAGGUCUUCGGAUCGUAAAACUCUGUUAUUAGGGAAGAACAAAUGUGUAAGUAACUAUGCACGUCUUGACGGUACCUAAUCAGAAAGCCACGGCUAACUACGUG